Molecule: long non-coding RNA, 404 nt
Organism: Mauremys reevesii (Reeves's turtle)
Lineage: Eukaryota; Metazoa; Chordata; Testudines; Geoemydidae
Exons: 3
Source: RefSeq, a predicted model, not a curated record
AGGAGACCGAUCCGGGAGAAAUACUGAUCAUCAGCAGUGAUUCACUUCUUUUUGGAAGCUGAACAUAUCUGAGGAAUUAUUCAGUCCUGGAACAAAAGCAGCUGUUUUCAGAAUGGAGAGAGGAUCUUAGCUCUGCCUGAAUACUUAGAAUAUCUCUGAUAUGUGAUUAAAAAGUCAACGAGGUCACAGAAUUUCUCCAGGACGCAACCUGCAACUACCUGAAGGAGACAAGCCCCAAAACAAAGCAAAACCAUGCACCAAACAGUUGCCUCUGAAUCAGCUAAGAAUUAACUUGUCAUUUUCUUCUGUUAUGGUUUGAGAGAACCUUAGAGAAUAUUGUUAGCCUCAGAGGAGCUGACAGAAGUGCUGCUGUUUUGAAAAUGGAUUCUGACACCAGGCAGGGA